This 908-nucleotide ribosomal RNA is filed under the name Paraconiothyrium archidendri. RNAcentral's name for it is "eukaryotic LSU rRNA". It matches the Rfam family "Eukaryotic large subunit ribosomal RNA", at positions 38 to 963 of the family's 3401-position model. The record is from RNAcentral. Lineage: Eukaryota; Fungi; Ascomycota; Dothideomycetes; Pleosporales; Didymosphaeriaceae.
GCAUAUCAAUAAGCGGAGGAAAAGAAACCAACAGGGAUUGCCCUAGUAACGGCGAGUGAAGCGGCAACAGCUCAAAUUUGAAAUCUGGCUCUCUUUGGGGGUCCGAGUUGUAAUUUGCAGAGGAUGCUUUGGCAUUGGCGGCGGUCUAAGUUCCUUGGAACAGGACAUCGCAGAGGGUGAGAAUCCCGUACGUGGGCGCCUGCCUUUGCCGUGUAAAGCUCCUUCGACGAGUCGAGUUGUUUGGGAAUGCAGCUCUAAAUGGGAGGUAAAUUUCUUCUAAAGCUAAAUACCGGCCAGAGACCGAUAGCGCACAAGUAGAGUGAUCGAAAGAUGAAAAGUACUUUGGAAAGAGAGUCAAAAAGCACGUGAAAUUGUUGAAAGGGAAGCGCUUGCAGCCAGACUUGCCCGCAGUUGCUCACCUAGGCUUUGGCCUGGGGCACUCUUCUGCGGGCAGGCCAGCAUCAGUUUGGGCGGUUGGAUAAAGGCCUCUGUCACGUAUCUCCCUUCGGGGUGACCUUAUAGGGGAGGCGCAAUGCAACCAGCCCGGACUGAGGUCCGCGCAUCUGCUAGGAUGCUGGCGUAAUGGCUGUAAGCGGCCCGUCUUGAAACACGGACCAAGGAGUCUAACAUCUAUGCGAGUGUUUGGGUGUCAAGCCCGGGCGCGCAAUGAAAGUGAACGGAGGUGGGAACCCUUUGGGUGCACCAUCGACCGAUCCUGAUGUCUUCGGAUGGAUUUGAGUAAGAGCAUAGCUGUUGGGACCCGAAAGAUGGUGAACUAUGCUUGAAUAGGGUGAAGCCAGAGGAAACUCUGGUGGAGGCUCGCAGCGGUUCUGACGUGCAAAUCGAUCGUCAAAUUUGGGCAUAGGGGCGAAAGACUAAUCGAACCAUCUAGUAGCUGGUUCCUGCCG